Bubalus bubalis (water buffalo) is the source of this 6217-nucleotide long non-coding RNA. RefSeq lists it as uncharacterized. Lineage: Eukaryota; Metazoa; Chordata; Mammalia; Artiodactyla; Bovidae. The transcript has 3 exons. The record is from RefSeq and is a predicted model, not a curated record.
CUGCUUUGAAAACUAGUUAUCUAGAAAGCAAAUUCCUUAAAAAAAAAAAAAAAACCUCUAGCUUCUCCUAACUGUGCUUGCUAAGGAUAUCGUACAACUUGUCCACAGAGAGUGAUUAUCCACAUCAGGUGGCAUUAGUUUAUUGAUCCAAUGAGGAAAUAUCUUUAAUGAGCAUAUACACUAGAGCCAUUGAAGGAAAACAGUUCCGUUUAAACCAUACCCUCACUGAAUUAAUAUCUCAUAAAACAGAUAUUCCAGGCCACAGAGAGAAGUGCUGUUGCGUGCUAACUUUUGCUUGUAAAGUCAGACAGGCUCAAAUCAGAAGAAACACAGGGAAGCAGUAGAGCCAGCUUGCUAAACAAAACCCUUUUCAUAGUUUCUUUACAUCUCCUUUGAAAAGGUGUUCUAGAACUUAACAUGAAAAGCACAUAUGCCAAGGCAAAAAGAGCUACAACACCGACCUCACUGGUAUUUAAUGAUUAGAUUAACAUUUCCAGUGGGGCUAGGGAAAUGCAGCGAAACAUUUCACCACAACUGAGGUCAGCUUUGAGUGAAGGGUUAGAAAAGGGGUAGGGUUAACUGUUAGGUCCGGAACUCUCUUUGGCUAUCUAUAGAACCUGCAUUUUUCUCUAACUAAAUAUGAGGGUUCUCCCUAUCUCAGCAAAAAUCCAGAACAAUAAAUCAUAAAACAAUAAAUCCCUGAAUGAGAGUGACAAGAGAUUCAUAACUGGAAAUAACUUGAAACAGUCACCCAUCAAUGAACAUAGAGAUGGGCAGGAUGAGCAGUGAAAGGGUUUUAGCUUUGAGGGCUUACGAUGUGAGACUUCCGCUAUCCAAACCAUGCAUGUUAUUUUGUCCAUGGAAUAAACUGCAGCCAAGGAUUGCCAGUGAUGGAAGCAGAUGAACUCAGCGUCAAGACAACAUACUGGACUCAUAGAUGACACUAUGUUCAGGACAUAGAAACACCAAUGGAUCUGCUAACGUCAAGCUCCUGUAACCAGAUACUCAGGUGUGUCCUCUCUCAUUCCUUACAGUAAAAUACCUGCUGCAAUGCCUUCUAUCUGCCAAGUAUUGAGCUGGCUACUGAAGACACAGAAGGACAUGAAACAUGACCACUGACCCGGGCAAGUCCACAAUCUAAUAGAUGAGACGCACAUGCAAACAAAUCAUAUCAGGGAUCAUAAUGACAGGCUUACCCCAGUGGUUGGCUUUCCAAUGCCAAAUGACCAUAGAAUGGUUGAGAUUGAGUUCUUCGGCAGCUUCUCAGUUGCAGGUUUUUCUUUGCAGACCUUGGUCGUAUUCAAACCAGGAGAUAUUUUUCUGAAGGAACCAGGAAAGUUGCAAAGAAGAGAAUGUUUCUACUAUUCCACUAUCGACUCAAGCUCUAAUCUUUAAAAAUAAAUAAACUAAAAGUAAUGGGAGCAACAGAAGACAGACUGAAGCAGGAGAAAAACCAGAGAGGAAGAAUAUCCCCAAGAUGCUGGCAUGAUGGAAUAGUCCUAAGAGCAGCAGACCUCUGAAUAAACACGAUGGAUGUGGAGGAAAGGUCAUUAGAAUGAAAAUAAAAUUUUGUGUAAGAAAGGGGAUAAAGAGGAAUAGAACUGAAAAGGGAAUACAAACCAAAAAAGAACAAUUCCUCAGUUAAAAACAUGGGUUGCAUGAAAUGAAGCCAACAAUUGAGGAGGCUAGGGUUCUGUUUUAUUAGAGUUUCAUCAUUUGUCUAAUAUUUGUUUCCUUGCUUUAACUGGCAACACUCUACAAAGACAGCAAUUGAGUCCCUACAAGCCUCCUCUAUUACCUCUUCUAUGCUCUGUGAAAGAGCCAUUGCCUGUAGGAAACUUUAGAAGACUGGGAAACUGGGAAUCCCUAAUCCUUGUGCUAUUUUUUGCCUUAUAUAACCAUCUCUGAAAAUCUAUUUUUGGCCAUUAAGUAAAUUUCAGGCCUAUAACUGUACACCCAUAGACAUCCUUCUGAAAGAUCACACCACUGACAACAACACAGGAAGCAAUCACGUCCAGACACAUACAGGAGUGUUUGUGAAUCAUUGCCUGUGGCUUCAACUUUCCCUAAAGCCAAUUAUGCACAGUUUGCAAAUGUUUACUGGUCACAUCAAAGAAACUCAUAAGCGUCUACCAUGGGCACAGCCUAUGCCAGGAACAUAAAGGGAUGCAAAAGUAAGUGGCUCUGUUUUCAAAUAAUUUACAGUUUUAUGGGGAGGAUCAAGCAAACAAAAAAGAGAGACUACUAUUAAUACUACUACUAAAGAGAAAAAUAUAUGUAUACAUAUGUAUAUCUAUGGCUGAUCCAUGUUGACAUAUGGCAGAAACCAACACAAUAUUGUAAUUUCCCUUUAAUUAAAAAUAUAUAUAUUUUUUAAAGUGAAAUAUAAAAUGCCCUAGAAGUCCAUAAGAGAUUAAUUCCUAUUAAGGGAUUUAGAAAAGCUCUUAAACUGGAUAUUGUUUGAGCUGGGGGGGAGGGGGUGAAUAUAGUUGGAAAGGCAUUUUGAACAGAGAAAAACCUGAGUAAAGGUACAGAGCUGAGAAAUUAUAUGCUGUGUACAGAAAGAACAUCUAAUCCAGUUAGGGCAACUGAGCAGUCCCUGUGAGCCUCACGCUAAUUACUAAAGCAUCAGAUCUAUUAAAGAACGCUGCUUACUUCUUCCCUCUCUCAACAAGGCUGUAUGGAUACUGCUCAAAAGUAUAGUUCUUGGAGCCAGAAUGCUUGGAUCUAAAUCUGUUCUUUGCCAAGUCCUUGCUGUGUGACCUGUGGCAUGCAAAUGUACUUUCUUUGCCUCCAUUUCCUCUCUGCAAAUUGAGGAUUAUAUGGACAUGUAUUUAAUAGUGUUGUUACAAGAAACAGAGACUUUAGAAGAAUCCAUGGCCCAUGAGAAACACUAGUGUUAUUGGUUAUUAUCCCUCUUAUCUAGGGACUCUGCAGACAUGGAAGACCUUAAAGAAAUUUUUCUAAUCUUUUCUCCCAGCUUCAUCAAACUAGUUUCUGUAAUUUAUUACACAGAAAGCCUGUGUAAUAAAUUACAAAGGGGGUGGAGGAGCAGAAGUUAAGAACUAACCAUUAAAUAACCCGAUAUUCUUGCAUUCAAGUUCUUAAAACAUAAGAUAAAACAGCUCCUCUGAUAAUUCUUUUCAACUGUAAGCAAAAAAACUCAUUGUACUUGCUCACUCUAUUAAUGCAACACGGCAAAUCAAAAAAGAGCUAGUUUCACAGCAAAGUGUUUAAAGUUGGGAAUUACUUUAUGUGUGUUUAUUUAUUUGCUUUCUUCCUUAGCCAGAAGCAUUGGCCUCUUCAAAAAUCCCAAGUGUGUCCCAACUCAAAGAUUCACCAACAGAGAUAGAAAAGGCUUUCCUUAACCCUGUUAGGAUCCCUGGCUGGGUCUGAAAAUUAAACUGACAAAGACAGAUUAACAGGAGAAAAGCAUAAAAUUUUAUUCCCUAUGUUUUAAUGGCAGGGAGUCCGUGUGAAGAAAUGAAGACCUAAAGGAACAGUUAAACCUGAGAAUAUGUAUACUAGGCAAUAGAGUGUACAGUUGUAUAGAAACUUGAUCAGUCAAAUAGUGUGAUGGAAAUGUAGCAAACAGCGGGGUGGGGGGAGAAUUUAGCAAAGGCCUAUUUGUUCAGAUUCUUCUCAGUGUCCUUUUCUCUAGAGAAGGAAGUUCCUUUCCUCCAGGGAGGGCACCUCUCACGUGAGGGUUUUAUGACCUGUCUCAAGGGAGAAGGAUGAGAAGGGCAAGGUGACCUUCCUGCUUCUGCCAUUUCCUCAAACUCCUUCAGCAUAAAAUAUUCAAUAUGCCAAGGUGCCAUAUUUUGGGGGUAGGGAGUCUUCAACUGCAUCACACACUAGUUAGCUGAGCACAGUCCACUACUUACCUCUGUUUCCACAAAGAAACCCAAACCAGCCCUGGUUUCCACUUUCCUCUGUACAUGUGUGCCUGCUAAGUCUUUCAAUUAUGUCCAACUCUUUGUGACACUAGGGACCAUAGCCUGCCAGGCUCCUCUGUCCAUGGGAUUUUCCAGGCAGGAAUACUGGAGUGGGUUGCCAUGCCCACCUCCAAGGGAUCUUCUCAACCCAGGGAUCGAACCUGCGUCUCUUAUGUCUCCUGCACUGGCAGGCAGAUUCUUUACCACUAGCACCACAUGGACUUGGAAUAAAAACAAGGAGAUUUUUGUGAACUUAUUUUCCUUCCUCUCUCGGCAUGCUGCUUUUUUCUUUUCCUCAUCUGUUAGUUUAGUGCAAGAAACAUAGGCUACAGUUAAACAACAGAAGCAGAGUCAAGUCUCGACUUAAAAAUAAGUUUGAGUCCUAGGGUCAUUUUUAGUACUGAUCCCUUCUGGAAUAUGACAGGAGUAGGGUGACCAGUAGUAACCUACAGACAUAACCUAAGAGCCAUGGAGUACGUGCUUAGCAAGACACUAAAGUCAAGUACAAAGUCAGCUCUGCUUCACCCCAGGACUCCCGGGCUUUCUCCUUCCCCACAAUGAGGGACGAGCCGUGCUCUGAACUGUGGCCUCCUGCUGCACAAACACGGGCUAUAGAAAGUGACAUCAUCAUCUGAGAAGGGAAACAAGAGUGAAGGAACCUUUUGUGGAGAAAAUAUUAUCAUUCAUUAAGACAGUGCUAUAGACUUCCAAAAGCAAAGUUUAAGAUCAAAUUAAUGAACUCUUUUCCAUUCAGAGAUACUUUCAAUAGCUACCGCUCCACCUCUUCCCACUUACACUUUCUCUCUCCCCUGAGAUAUGAGAACUACUUCUGUGUGUGGCUUUAUCUCCCCUUCUUCACAAGUCCCUAGGCAGAUAGAGACAUAAGUCUUUCAUUUUUCUCACGAGCAAGACUGAAAGGCACUUGGACAGGGGAGAAAGCUAAUUAGUAUUUUUGUUUCAGUAUAGGGUUCUACAUGCCCUUACCAAUUAUAAUUGCAUUAUCUGCCUGGAAAUUCUAUUUUACAACACAGCAAAGGGAACAGAUGCCUAGAAAUACUUUUUGUUGUCUUCUUCCUCCAAUUUACAGAUUUCUUUCUCUCAAGUGAAGACUUAGUUUAUUUACUGAAUUAUAGAACAGAGAAAUUGGUCAAUUCUAGGCUUGAAAAUGUCUACCACAGUCCUCUGAAUAAUGUCCUAUGAAUUAAUUAAAUUGAAUUCCAAGUUUUUUUCUUGCCCAUAUAUAACUCACAUUUGUCUGAUUUAUUUUUCAGAGAAACAUUGGAAAGAUAUUGCUAGCUUUCACUAAAUAGCAAUGUGCUUGCUUAUAUUCAUAUGGAAGCACUCUAAGUCUUUCAAAGAAACUGUUAUCAUUAACUCUCAACAGUUCUGUGAGACAUGGGCCACAUUCCUAUCUUUGAAAUGAUAACAAAAAAGUCAGCUCUGAAAAUCUCUUGAUUAGGAAUAUAACACCAUAGAUCUAUCAGUAGGAACUAAUGUGGUUUCUUUCCAGCAAGCUAUUUCAGCUUUGAAGUCCCAUGUUCUUUGUAUUACUGGAAUUGUUUCUGUUCUUAAACAAAGGUUUAUUUCUGCCACUAAUUAUCUAUAUGACUUCAGGCAAGUCAUGUAAUGUCUCUGCAUCUGAACUUUCUUAUCAGUAAAGUGAGUAAGGAUUUCCAAUUAAAAAUGGAAAUGUGACACCCAUGGAAAAUGAUAGAAGAAGCUAUAAAAUGUAAGAAACUUUUUUUAAAAAAAGUAUGGAAGAGGAGAUGACAGAAGACAGGACAUGUCUACAACACUGCAGAGGAUGAAAAGCAGAAAGAGCAGUAACUGAUGGCAGGCAAGCAAAACUGCAACCAAUUUGACCUCAGAGGAGAAAGUCAGUGAGAAACCAGUAGAUUGUGGGAAACUAAAUUCCCCCUCCCUCAUCUACACUCUAACAUCCAGAAGCGUAAUAUGUUACCUUACAUGGCAAAAGGAACUUUGCAGAUGCAAUUAAGGAUCUUGAGAUGGAGAUAGUAGCCUGUAUUAUCCAGGUAGGCCCAGUGGAGACAGGAGAGGCAGAGCAAGAUGUGAAGAAGGAAGCAGAAGUUGGAAUGACCAGGGGCCAUAAGCCAAGGAAUGCAAGUAGCCUCUACAUGCCAGAGAAGGCAAGGAGAUGAGCUCUGCCCUGGAGCCCUCAGAAGGAAUUCAGCCCUGCGAACACCUUGAUUUCAGUUCCAUUAAGGCUCACGUCAGACUUCUGUCCUCCAGAACUGUAAGAUAAUAAAUUUGUGUAUUUUUAA